UUUAAAGAGAGUUUGAUCCUGGCUCAGGACGAACGCUGGCGGCGUGCCUAAUACAUGCAAGUCGAACGAACGGAGGAAGAGCUUGCUCUUCCAAAGUUAGUGGCGGACGGGUGAGUAACACGUGGGCAACCUGCCUGUAAGUUGGGGAUAACUCCGGGAAACCGGGGCUAAUACCGAAUGAUAGA
This 185-nucleotide ribosomal RNA is filed under the name Listeria monocytogenes. Its description in RNAcentral is "partial 16S ribosomal RNA". It matches the Rfam family "Bacterial small subunit ribosomal RNA", at positions 1 to 180 of the family's 1533-position model. RNAcentral also lists the same sequence under 2 other names. The record is from RNAcentral. Lineage: Bacteria; Bacillati; Bacillota; Bacilli; Caryophanales; Listeriaceae.